Molecule: non-coding RNA, 27 nt
Filed under: Homo sapiens (human)
Lineage: Eukaryota; Metazoa; Chordata; Mammalia; Primates; Hominidae
Source: RNAcentral
UACCCACAACAGUUACGGAGGCAAGGG